Molecule: long non-coding RNA, 1254 nt
Filed under: Marmota monax (woodchuck)
Lineage: Eukaryota; Metazoa; Chordata; Mammalia; Rodentia; Sciuridae
Source: RNAcentral
UUUUUUUUUUAAUUUUGUUAAACCAGGACAGGAAUUUUUUAUUAAUUAGCAACUAGCCCCAAUGUGGGAAUGAUUUCCAUUCUAAUACUAGGUUGUAUUAAUGGAUUUAGGUAAUGGGGUCUGUAUCAGAGUAAACUACAGGCUUCCAAACAAAAUGGCUUGUGUCUGUCUUUUGAUUCAAUUCAUAAAAUCUGAGACCUGGAGGGAACCUUGAAGAUCAUCUCAGCAGGGAGGCAAACAAAUGGUUCUGAGAUGAAACAGACUGAAGCAAGCAGAACUUUAUGAGGUUUGGUUUUAUGUCCUGUACCUCCAGCAGGCUGGGCCUCACCCCAGUGAGAGCAGUAUGGCAGCACAGCAUUGAGUAAGAAUAAGAACAAUACAAACAUUUGGACUUGUGUAGUAUUUUACAGUUUACAGAACUAUUUUGAUUUUUUUGCUUUUUUCUUUUGUUGCUGCAAAUUGAACCCAGGGCCUUGCGCAUGCUAGGAACAUAUUAUAUCAUUGGGCUAUUCCCCCAGUCCCCCAUUUUGACUUUUUGAGGCCUGAUAUCCUGUUUUAUUUUUGCUAGAUCAACUACAAAAAGCUAUAUUCACUCCUGUCCCCUGUCCCAUGUUGAUCAGUCUACCCAUAGUCUUCCCUGACAAAUCUCCUUUACCAGUUGUUUCUCAGGUCAAAAGCUUUGGAUACAACCUUGAUUCAUUUUCUUUUCUUAGACUCCACAUAUAAUUUUAUGAGAAAAUUCUGGCAGUUCUGCCUGCAAAAUAUGUCCAGAGUCCAUAUUUGUUGAUAUUUUAAAAUAAUUAUUCAUUUUUAGUGAGAAAAUCAUAUUAUGGCUAUAUAUUUUUAAAGAAUCCUUUUCUUUGAGAGGUACAUUCUGAAGGAUUUGCAGAAGCAAUAGCAAGCUAUCUGUCAUUUGUUUUCAAGUAAUCUCUUGAGGGGCUGAGGAUAUAGCUCAGUGGUAGAAUAUCUUCCUAGCAUGUGUAAGGCCCUGGAUUUGAUCUCCAGCCUUUCUCUCUCUCUCUCUCUCUCUCUCUCUCUCUCUCUAUAUAUAUAUAUAUAUAUAUAUAUAUAUAUAUAUAUAUAUAUAUAAAUUAUCUAGUAGAUGAGGAAGUGGGUAUGGGUAUAGAUGAAAUAAGACUAGCCAUGUACUGAUAAUAUCAAAAGUGGGUGAAGGGUGCAGGAGGAUUAUAGUACUCUGUACCUCUGCAUGUUUGAAGUUUUUCAUAAUAAAUUUACAAAACAACAUCUAAAUAG